This is a non-coding RNA of Caulobacterales bacterium, 368 nucleotides long. NCBI's taxonomy places the organism in Bacteria, Pseudomonadati, Pseudomonadota, Alphaproteobacteria, Caulobacterales. The record is from Rfam.
CCUCUUGGAAUGAGGCGGGGAUCCCCCUAUAUUGGACCUGUCCGGUUUCGGCCGGACUAUAGCGAUAAACGCGCUUGUAAUAAGCGGACCGGACCCGGGUGCGAUUCCCGGCGGCUCCACCAACCUUCUCCCCGCGUUAUCGGCGGAGGCAGCAUGGGGCCGACUAGCAUCGACGGACGUGUAAAGAGGAUUGCUUUCGCUCGUCCUGGCCCACCGUAUCGGGCCAUUUUCUAACUGCGAACGAUAACUUCGCUGGAGAAGUCGCUCUCGCCGCGUAAUGCGGUUCGGGUGAUUUCGAAUCUUAAGUCCUAGGGGUUCAGAUCCUUGGGCGGGGCCUGUCGGGAGCCUGGCAACAGAAUCCCGGCGUU